Molecule: long non-coding RNA, 657 nt
Filed under: Aotus nancymaae (Ma's night monkey)
Lineage: Eukaryota; Metazoa; Chordata; Mammalia; Primates; Aotidae
Description: lncRNA (ENSANAG00000039226.1)
Source: RNAcentral
UUGGGAUUUUUAUGAAAUGUGUUUACCAGCCCUUUUGGAGCUAGUCUUUCAUUUGCAUGCGGGCCGCGGUAUUCUACCUGGAUGUGGGUGUGGGUGUAGAGAAGAGAAUGGAGGAUCUGCACAAAGAGAGCACAGCGAGGGACUGGGUUCUGAGCCUGUCCCCUCCAAGCCGCCGCCCUCUCCCCGAGGUCCGGCUGGGUGCACAGCAGAGGGGGCCAGCAAAAGAUGUGUGCUGGACAUGGCAAGACAGGGGCGAGACAGACCAUGGUGAGGAGAAUGGCACCUACAAGACCUCCCAGACUGCUGUGCACAGUUGAAAUCGAAACCGGAACGUCGUGGUGUCUCAGGACCAGCCCAAGCACUUUGGAGCACUGAUUUAAUUCCAACCCCAGCAGUAGGAGGUAUGUAUGUUAUUUUCCAUUUAUAGGAGCUGAAACUGAGGUUCCGAUGGCUGAAGUGACUUGCCCAAUUUGCACAACUGGUAGGUGCUGCCACUGAGAUUCAAAUUCAUACUAUGCCAAUUCUCAAGCCCUGUAAUCAAGCAGGGACGCUUUCCUUUCUUCAGCUGUGACAUGUUACUGUCAUUCAGUAACUCAUUCCUUCAACAAAAUAUUAAAAUAUUAUUGAGCACCUACUAGAUGCUAGAUGCUGUCUUGG